This 370-nucleotide ribosomal RNA is filed under the name uncultured eukaryote. RNAcentral's name for it is "partial 18S ribosomal RNA". It matches the Rfam family "Eukaryotic small subunit ribosomal RNA", at positions 592 to 976 of the family's 1831-position model. The record is from RNAcentral.
CAAUAGCGUAUAUUAAAGUUGUUGCAGUUAAAAAACUCGUAGUUGGACCUUGGACCUGGACAGGCGGUCCGCCUCACGGCGUGUACUGUCUUGCUGGGUCUUUCCUCUUGGUGAUCUGUUGUUUCGGCAGCAGGGAACCAGGACUUUUACUUUGAAAAAAUUAGAGUGUUCAAAGCAGGCUCGACGCCGGAAUAUAUUAGCAUGGAAUAAUAAAAUAGGACGUGCGGUUCUAUUUUGUUGGUUUUUGGAAUCGCCGUAAUGAUUAAUAGGGACAGUCGGGGGCAUUAGUACUCACAUGCUAGAGGUGAAAUUCUUGGAUUUUGUGAAGACUAACUUCUGCGAAAGCAUUUGCCAAGGAUGUUUUCAUUAA